CUCAAAGCAGGCCUAUGCGCCUGAAAAUUCUUGCAUGGAAUAAUGAAAUAGGACUUCGGUUCUAUUUUGUUGGUUUUCGGAUCCGAAGUAAUGGUUAAGAGGGACAGACGGGGGCAUUUGUAUGGCGGUGUUAGAGGUGAAAUUCUGGGAUCGCCGCCAGACAAACUACAGCGAAAGCAUUUGCCAAGAAUGUUUUCAUUGAUCAGGAGCGAAAGUCAGAGUUUCGAAGACGAUCAGAUACCGUCGUAGUUCUGACCAUAAACGAUGCCAACUGACGAUCCGCGUUGGUUCUAUAAUUGACAUCGCGGGCAGUCCCCGGGAAACCUUUAAGUCUUUGGGCUCCGGGGGGAGUAUGGUUGCAAAGCUGAAACUUAAAGGAAUUGACGGAAGGGCACCACCAGGAGUGGAGCCUGCGGUUUAAUUCGACUCAACACGGGAAAACUCACCCGGCCCGGACACUGUGAGGAUUGACAGAUUGAAAGCUCUUUCUUGAUUCGGUGGUUGGUGGUGCAUGGCCGUUCUUAGUUGGUGGAGCGAUUUGUCUGGUUAAUUCCGAUAACGAACGAGACUUUAACCUACUAAAUAGUAGACUGGUCCUCUGUGCUCGUUCAGGGCGCGGCUUCUACUGCUUCUUUAUGGAGUAGUGUGGUCGUGAUCCGACGGGUGCGGUGCCAGUUUUUACUUCUUAGAGGGACAAGCGGCACACUUAAGUCGCACGAAAUUGAGCAAUAACAGGUCUGUGAUGCCCUUAGAUGUCCGGGGCCACACGUGCGCUACAAUGACGGUGCCAGCGAGCCUGGAAACCUGGCCCGAAAGGGUUGGGCAAACUGUUUCAUCACCGUCGUGACUGGGAUCGGGGCUUGCAAUUAUUCCCCGUGAACGAGGAAUUCCUGGUAAGUGCAAGUCAUAAGCUUGCGCUGAUUACGUCCCUGCCCUUUGUACACACCGCCCGUCGCUACUACCGAUUGAAUGGUUUAGUGAGGUCGUUGGAUUGGUGUCGUUGUAGUGGCUUUAUCGCUGCUCGACUGAUAUCGAGAAGACGACCUAAUUUGACUAUUUAGAGGAAGUAAAAGUCGUAACAAGGUUUCCGUAGGUGAACCUGCGGAAG
RNAcentral lists this ribosomal RNA (1108 nucleotides) under Schistosoma japonicum. RNAcentral's name for it is "SSU rRNA". It matches the Rfam family "Eukaryotic small subunit ribosomal RNA", at positions 774 to 1823 of the family's 1831-position model. The record is from RNAcentral. Lineage: Eukaryota; Metazoa; Platyhelminthes; Trematoda; Strigeidida; Schistosomatidae.